Molecule: ribosomal RNA, 1248 nt
Filed under: metagenome
Description: bacterial SSU rRNA
Rfam family: Bacterial small subunit ribosomal RNA
Source: RNAcentral
UAGCUCGUUGGUGGGGUAAUGGCUCACCAAGGCGACGAUCGGUAGGUGGUCUGAGAGGACGAUCACCCAGACUGGGACUGAGACACGGCUCAGACUCCUACGGGAGCAGCAGUCGGGAAUUUUGCUCAAUGGGGGAAACCCUGAAGCAGCAACGCCGCGUGCGGGAUGAAGGCCUUCGGGUUGUAAACCGCUUUUACCAGGGACGAUAAUGACGGUACCUGAUGAAUAAGUCACGGCUAACUACGUGCCAGCAGCCGCGGUAAUACGUAGGUGACUAGCGUUGUCCGGAUUUACUGGGCGUAAAGAGCGCGCAGGCGGUCGUUCAAGUCGAGUGUGAAAGCCCCCGGCUCAACUGGGGAGGGUCAUUCGAUGCUGAUCGACUCGAAGGCAGGAGAGGGAAGCGGAAUUCCCGGUGUAGUGGUGAAAUGCGUAGAUAUCGGGAGGAACACCAGUGGCGAAGGCGGCUUCCUGGCCUGUUCUUGACGCUGAGGCGCGAAACUAGGGGAGCAAACGGGAUUAGAUACCCCGGUAGUCCUAGCCGUAAACGAUGGACACUAGGUGUUGGUGGUAUCAACCCCACCAGUGCCGAAGCUAACGCAUUAAGUGUCCCGCCUGGGGAGUACGGCCGCAAGGCUAAAACUCAAAGGAAUUGACGGGGCCCCGCACAAGCAGCGGAGCGUGGGGUUUAAUUCGAUGCAACGCGAAGAACCUUACCAAGGCUUGACAUGACCAGGAAUCCGGCGGAAACGUCGGCGCCCCGCAAGGGGCCUGGCCACAGGUGUUGCAUGGCUGUCGUCAGCUCGUGUCGUGAGAUGUUGGGUUAAGUCCCGCAACGAGCGCAACCCCUAUCGUGUGUUGUAUCACUCACACGAGACUGCCGAGAGAAACUCGGAGGAAGGCGGGGAUGACGUCAAGUCAGCAUGGCCCUUACGUCUUGGGCUACACCCACGCUACAAUGGCCGGUACAACGGGCGGCGAAACCGCGAGGUGGAGCAAAUCCCUUAAAGCCGGUCUCAGUUCGGAUUGUAGGCUGCAACUCGCCUACAUGAAGCCGGAGUUGCUAGUAACCGCCGGUCAGCAUACGGCGGUGAAUAUGUUCCCGGGGCUUGUACACACCGCCCGUCACGUCAUGAAAGCUGGCAACACCCGAAGCCGGUGGGCCAACCCGCAAGGGAGGCAGCCGUCGAAGGUGGGGUCGGUGAUUGGGACGAAGUCGUAACAAGGUAGCCGUACCGGAAGGUGCGGCUG